This 452-nucleotide ribosomal RNA is filed under the name uncultured bacterium. RNAcentral's name for it is "bacterial SSU rRNA". It matches the Rfam family "Bacterial small subunit ribosomal RNA", at positions 29 to 526 of the family's 1533-position model. The record is from RNAcentral.
AACGAACGCUGGCGGCAGGCCUAACACAUGCAAGUCGAGCGAGACCUUCGGGUCUAGCGGCGGACGGGUUAGUAACGCGUGGGAACGUGCCCUUUGCUACGGAAUAGUCCCGGGAAACUGGGUUUAAUACCGUAUACGCCCUUUUGGGGAAAGAUUUAUCGGCGAAGGAUCGGCCCGCGUUGGAUUAGGUAGUUGGUGGGGUAACGGCCUACCAAGCCGACGAUCCAUAGCUGGUUUGAGAGGAUGAUCAGCAACACUGGGACUGAGACACGGCCCAGACUCCGACGGGAGGCAGCAGUGGGGAAUCUUAGACAAUGGGGGCAACCCUGAUCUAGCCAUGCCGCGUGAGUGAUGAAGGCCUUAGGGUUGUAAAGCUCUUUCAGCUGGGAAGAUAAUGACGGUACCAGCAGAAGAAGCCCCGGCUAACUCCGUGCCAGCAGCCGCCGUAACAC